CCGGGGACCGGCCUCCGCCGCGGGCUCUGCCCGCUCGCCUGCUCGCCUGGUGGGGGAGAGGGGAGCGGGGCCGACACAGGGUUCCUGACCAAGCUGGUGCUUCUGCGUGUGUUCCUGCAUGACUUGGUGUGUCCCCUUCUCUUGGAUCUACUGCAGUUGACAGCAGAUAACUGAAAGCUCGGAAAGCGAAACCGUGGAUAAGCAGGGGAACUGUGGCAUCCCAUUUAAAAUUGCUUCUGAAGAGAAGCAUGAGGUUACAUCUGUAAUCUCCCUGCAGCAGAGUCAACUGCAUAAGAAACCAAAAGACACACCUGCUCCAUGCCAGCUUCGAUAAUUUCUUUGUACCUUCGGCGAAAGAAGCCCAUCUGAAAGGCAGAAAGAAAGAGAAGCUGAGUUAGAAGUGCUGAAGAAUCAGCCAUUGUGACCCCAAGGCAGUCUGUCCCUGGCCUAAGCCACCACAUAAAAAGUCAGACCAUCUGCUGGAAGAACCACAUGGAGAGGCCCUGAGUCAACAUGGAGAGGAAGAAGGACUUGACUGAAUCCAGCCUUCCAGCUGUCCCUACCAAGGUGCCAGGCAUGAGAAUGAAGCUGUCUUGAACUCUGAAGACCAGCUUAGCCACCAGAUGCCAAACACUGAGCAGGCUUUGUUCUCCACCCACAAACCAGAGGCUGUCUCAGCAGGAAGGAGUUGGAGUUGGAGAAAAAGGAGAAUUAAGAAUCUAUCUGGCGAUGUGGAUUAAAUAAACAACAAAUUGGCAGAUUGUUUUUAAAAGGCAGGAGAGCUGGGCAUCUAUGAGUGGGGACCCCAGGGGGACCUGCAAUCACCAGACUCACCUUCCAGAGCAGCACGGCCAGCAGCAGGAAGAUGAGGAUUCCCACCAACAAACUGAUGGCGAUGAUCCACCCCACGACGUAGCCACGGGGCUCCAGAUUGUGCAGGGCCUCGAAGACCACCUAGGAGGCAACGCAACAGUGAAAACAUUUCCUUUUUUAUUUUUUUUUUGAGACAGAGUCUUGUUCUGUCACCCAGGCUGGAGUGCAAUGGCACAAUCUCGGCUCACUGCAACCUCUACCUCCUGGGUUCAAGCGAUUCUCCUGCCUUAGCCUCCCAAGUAGCUGGGAUUACAGGUGCCUGGCUAAUGUUUUGUAUUUUUAGUAGAGACAGGGUUUCACCAUGUUGGCUAGGCUGGUCUCGAACUCCUGACCUCAGGUGAUCCACCCACCUCGGCCUCCCAAAGUUUUGGGAUUACAGGCACGAGCCACAGUGCCAGCUGAAAACGUUUCCUAAACAGAAGUGCGCAGAGCAUGAUGGAGCCCAGCCUGGGCUUGACAUUUGGAGAGAACUACAGAGAAGUAUCCAGACUGUUGUUACUAAUAAAUAAAUACAUAAGCUCCGCUGAACGAUUUUCUGGUUGCAAACUGAUGGAUUUUUCACUGGC
This 1439-nucleotide long non-coding RNA is filed under the name Homo sapiens (human). Its description in RNAcentral is "HSALNT0311235". Lineage: Eukaryota; Metazoa; Chordata; Mammalia; Primates; Hominidae. The record is from RNAcentral.